Molecule: ribosomal RNA, 508 nt
Filed under: Alvinocaris komaii
Lineage: Eukaryota; Metazoa; Arthropoda; Malacostraca; Decapoda; Alvinocarididae
Description: partial 16S ribosomal RNA
Rfam family: Bacterial large subunit ribosomal RNA
Source: RNAcentral
UCUGUAUGGAGGAAAUAUAGAGUCUGGCCUGCCCACUGAAGUUUUUAAAGGGCCGCGGUAAUUUGACCGUGCGAAGGUAGCAUAAUCAAUAGUCUCUUAAUUGGAGGCUGGAAUGAAUGGUCGCACAAAAAAUAAUCUGUCUUAGCUGUAGUAGUAGAAUUUUACUUUUGAGUGAAAAGGCUCAAAUAUGUUAAAGGGACGAUAAGACCCUAUAAAACUUUAUAUGAUAAGGUUAAUUUUUGAAUUUUAGUGUUAAAGUGGAUUGGCUUUUAUUUAUUAUGUUGGGGCGACAAGAAUAUAAAAUGAGUAACUGUUUAUAAAUUAAAAUAGGUAUGUUUAAWGAGGAUGAUCCUUUUUUARGGAUUAAAGGAAAAAGUUACUUUAGGGAUAACAGCGUAAUUUUUUCUGAGAGUUCUUAUCGACGAAAGUAGUUGCGACCUCGAUGUUGAAUUAAGAUUUCCUUAAGGUGUAGAAGUUUCAGUGGUACGUCUGUUCGACCUUUAAAAUC